UGUUAGCUCAUCAACCAGGGGACUGGAGCAGCUGUCACUGAGAAAAGGCUAACACGUCCACUGUACUGGGAUCGGGGAAGAAGUGCCAGCACGGCAAGACAGCUGAGAAAACAACACAAAGAUGCACCAACCCUCACAGAUUCUUCAAAGUCGGACACCAGCGGUUAUCACAGCGCUUGACUGCAUCAAGGAGACAAAGGGAGCUGUGCAGUGUGCAAACACAUGCCCGGAUUGUGUGUGGGACAGAUAAAAGGUGGAAAUCAGUGACGAGGUCACUACGGAUACAACAAGGAGCAACACAGCCUGAACCACAGACCGAGAGGAUCACCCCCCCCACCCCACCAUCCCCCACCUCCAUCCUCGCUGCGGGAAUUGCCGGUGUCUGGGUGCACAGAGGAUGUAUCUACUGCUGGCAUUGUUAUCCGUCUUUAAAAUGAAUCCAGUAUGCUAGGAUUGUCAAUUAAACACUCGCAUUUCGCCGGAUUUUAUGAGCCACGGAUUUAAU
Long non-coding RNA from Oreochromis aureus, 505 nucleotides. NCBI's taxonomy places the organism in Eukaryota, Metazoa, Chordata, Actinopteri, Cichliformes, Cichlidae. The record is from Ensembl.